RNAcentral lists this transfer RNA (71 nucleotides) under Allobates juanii. RNAcentral describes it as "partial tRNA-Ile". Lineage: Eukaryota; Metazoa; Chordata; Amphibia; Anura; Aromobatidae. The record is from RNAcentral.
UGGAAACGUGCCUGAAAUAUAAGGACCUCCUUGAUAGGGAGAACAAUAGGGACUAGACCCCCUCGUUUCCU